Small nuclear RNA from Hyaena hyaena (striped hyena), 165 nucleotides. RefSeq annotates it as U1 spliceosomal RNA. NCBI's taxonomy places the organism in Eukaryota, Metazoa, Chordata, Mammalia, Carnivora, Hyaenidae. The transcript has a single exon. The record is from RefSeq and is a predicted model, not a curated record.
AUACUUAGCUGGCAAGAGGAGAUACCGUGGUCACGAAGGUGGUUUUCCCAGGGCGAGGCUCAUCCAUUGCACUGCGGAGGUACGGACCCCUGCGAUAUUCUCAAAUGCCUGAAACUCCCCUGUGUAAUUUGUGGUAGUGGGAGAUAGCGUUUGCGCUUUCCCCUG